AUGGGAAAGGCUCAGUGGUCAAACAUGUGCUUUGCACACAGAAGGUCCUAGGUUCAAAUCCUGAUGUCCAUA
Non-coding RNA from Phrynosoma platyrhinos (Desert horned lizard), 72 nucleotides. The record is from the annotation of a GenBank genome assembly. NCBI's taxonomy places the organism in Eukaryota, Metazoa, Chordata, Lepidosauria, Squamata, Phrynosomatidae.